AUUGAACGCUGGCGGCAGGCCUAACACAUGCAAGUCGAGCGGAUGAAGGGAGCUUGCUCCUGGAUUCAGCGGCGGACGGGUGAGUAAUGCCUAGGAAUCUGCCUGGUAGUGGGGGAUAACGUCCGGAAACGGGCGCUAAUACCGCAUACGUCCUGAGGGAGAAAGUGGGGGAUCUUCGGACCUCACGCUAUCAGAUGAGCCUAGGUCGGAUUAGCUAGUUGGUGGGGUAAAGGCCUACCAAGGCGACGAUCCGUAACUGGUCUGAGAGGAUGAUCAGUCACACGGGAGCUGGGACACGGUCCAGGCUCCUACGGGAGGCAGCAGUGGGGUAUAUUGGGCAGUGGGCGAGAGCCUGGUCCAGCCAUGCCGCGUGUGUGAAGAAGGUCUUCGGAUUGUAAAGCACUUUAAGUUGGGAGGAAGGGCAGUAAGUUAAUACCUUGCUGUUUUGACGUUACCAACAGAAUAAGCACCGGCUAACUUCGUG
This 484-nucleotide ribosomal RNA is filed under the name uncultured bacterium. Its description in RNAcentral is "partial 16S ribosomal RNA". It matches the Rfam family "Bacterial small subunit ribosomal RNA", at positions 30 to 507 of the family's 1533-position model. The record is from RNAcentral.